UAGUUUUAGAUAAAACAUUCUCUAAAAUUUUAGGCUAGAUAAUAAGAAGAUAGUAAUUACUAGUACUUUUAGUCUUCGUGGAUACGAUAUUUUUGGUCUUACUAUAACUAUACUACUGUUCAAUAGGUGCGCUUGCCUUAAGUAAAAUUUUUAGUUAGUUACAUGACCAUCAGACGUCAGAGUUUUCGAUCACACUAUCAAUUGGAAAGAUUUGGUAUAGUUAGAUUCAACAUUUUGAAUAUGGCAUGUAUAGGGACUUGG
This 261-nucleotide long non-coding RNA is filed under the name Gossypium barbadense (sea-island cotton). RNAcentral describes it as "long non-coding RNA (GBAR_LNC001352)". The record is from RNAcentral. Lineage: Eukaryota; Viridiplantae; Streptophyta; Magnoliopsida; Malvales; Malvaceae.